This is a long non-coding RNA of Arvicola amphibius (Eurasian water vole), 4763 nucleotides long. RefSeq lists it as uncharacterized. Lineage: Eukaryota; Metazoa; Chordata; Mammalia; Rodentia; Cricetidae. The transcript has 3 exons. The record is from RefSeq and is a predicted model, not a curated record.
UUCAGAAGACAGGGUCUUCAUGCUUCCAGUAAGAAUACAGUGUGUUGCCUUUCAAAUAGGCUUCCACAAGAGAAUAUUUGCUGUGCUCUCUCGAAAACGGCAUGCAAGCAACUCAGAAACAGAAGGACACCUACAUGCAGGUCAUGUCCUAGCCUGAUAACUGGAGUCAGUGUUUCAGAAAACAAGACUUGGGAGCUCACUCUGCAAGGGGUGUUUUAGGAAGUGUUAUCCUACUGAGUUCGCCUUUCCCCUAGUGUAGUGUUAAUUCUCAACAUGCCCCCCAGUUGACCAUGACAUGCUGUGUUCUUCAAAUAUUUGCAGAGGCCAGUGACAUUGACUUUUCCAAACCAGAGUGGAAACUUAAAAACCUACUGACAAUGGCAUGGUUUGUGCCCCAGGGGAGCUACGGAGUUGGAUUUUCUGCCGCAGAGUUUGCUGUCAAUGUCGCCUCAUUGGGAAGGAGCCUUCCAAACAGAACAGCCCCACUUGUGCCCAGAUCUUGGGUUCUCUGUUUACCGUUCAACCAAAGGACCUAGAGCUACUUAGGGAAAUGACCCAACCUAGGACUAGAGCUGGGAGCGUGCAAGACUAUCGCCAUCAGGAAGAUCUAUAGUGCCAGGAAGCAAGACAACAGGUCAUGUCAAGUGGGCAUCAGAGCCACUGGAGUUCCCAACAGCCAAGAUAGGAAUAUGAGCAACACAAUAAAACAGCCUUGAUAAUAACCCCAAGCAUAAAGCCAGCAUCCAAAAGCCCACACUGAUAGAAACGAAAAGAGACAGAGGGGACACAAUACACUUUCCAGGCCACUCGUGUGGGCUGACAAAGGACAAAUCAUGUUGCUGCAGACAGAGAGCUGCCAAACAUCAUUACUGGGUCACCUGAUCCAAGUCAAGGUCAAGUAUUGUUAAUAGGAUUUGAGAAGCCAGCUGUUCCCCACUGGCAUUUCAAUUCAGAACACACAAAGCUACUGUGGGGGAGGGAGAGGUGUGUCCAUAGUUGGGUGUCCUGAGCCCUCUGCUCCACAGAUAGUGUCGCACACUGAUCUGGUUUUUGAGUUUCCUUAAGCUGAUGGUUCCACAGGUGAGUAAUUCACCGGAUUUUCUCCAUGGCCUAACAACUAGAACUAGCAGCCAAGGAGAAAUUCUGAUCUCCUGAAAUUAGGAAAAAAGAAAAACGCACACAGCUGUCCUGAAUUAAAAUACCUGGUCCAGGGCAUCAUUGUUAUUUAGAACAUUUACUAGAAAAAACAGAUGUGAAAUUGGGCUGAAAUCCCCCACUGGGGGCCAGUGUUUAAAGAUACAGAGCAGGAGUUCAGUUCAGGAGGUGUUAGCAAUAACUGGUACCGAGUCCUGGCCGCCUGGGUGUGAAUUCCAACCACUGUUUCUUUGUAUUUUGUUUCCAGGCAAGAAUGCCUCAGCACCUUCAUCUUCUGGAUGGGAUGGUACCUACCCCUUACAGGAUGCCUGAAAAUGGGUCUUCACAGACGUAUCUUCAGGGACAUGAGAAGUCAUGUUUGGGAGGGGCGAGAGACUCAAAAGAAGCUGAGGGCUCAGCUUCAACAGCCAGUGUCUUGGGUGCACAUCUCAGUUCUGGAGGAGAAAGCCAUGCUGUCUUGCCAGGGCAGAAAUGCCUAGUAACGGUAGCAUGCGAAAGUAACCAGAAUGACUGACUUAUGGCAAUCAGCACACCCACUAAAGGGUGACUUCAUGAAAAGACCACAAGAGACAGCACUUGAAAAGGACAGUGGGAGAAGGCGGCUUUGGUACAGGCACUCCACUGGGAGAGAGGACGUAAGUGGGAAAACCCUGGGAGGAAGGAUGACCGACAACAGGUACAGAGUGGAGAGAAAGCAUAUGGGAAGAUGCUGACGUUGUACCUGACAGUCUCCAUCUGGCCUGCUGCCAAUCACAGCUAUCACAUGUCUAUCAUGAAUAAACGAGCAUCUUCAGGCAUGCUUCCUGAAAGGCUGCUUAAUUAUCUUCCUGCUUCCCUGCUCUGUGACAAGCCAAACGUUUCCUGGUCCAGCCACUUCUCUCUAGGACUUUCCUGGUCUUCAGUGCUGAAUUGAGGACGGAACAGAGCCUGUGUGGUAGGACUUGGUAAGUAGCACCAUGCCUCAGCGGGUGAUAUAGUGGAAUGUAAUCCCCACUGGGGGGUGUUAAAUGGUUGGAUAUAUAAUCUGACUGGUCAGGUGGAGCCUCAUGGAGGUUAUUACAGUUAGAGGGGACCCUGGUUGGAGAAAGACCAGACCCAUGCAUAAAUAUUUGAGGACCCUGACCACAGAAUCCGGAGACAAAAUAAGUCUCCUUUCAUUAAGACUUAUUAAAUUUGUGGACCACGUCACCAGCAACAGGACACAUACUAAUAACUUUUGUAAGUUUCAAGGGGUAUGGAAAGGAGAUAGGGGUUUUACAAGGACCCAGUCGAUGUGCCCUGAAUUAUUCAGUUAACAGAAAGAACAAAACCAAGCAGAGUUACCUGAACCGAAUAUUGGUGACUGUUUCUCUCAGAUUCUCCCAAACUACCAGCAAAGACACAGCGAAGCUCCUAAGGGUAGCCAGAGCGCCAUCUGUAAGCCGAAUGUUUCUCAGUGGACUCUAAAGGCAGGUACAGCGCUACCGGAAACCUAAGUGCUUCUCAGCAAAUGUUUUGCUUGCACUCGCAAUAAGACUUGGAACAAGAUACCCGAGAUGUCUUAGGUCACUAAACAGAUGGAGAGUAAAGUCUGAUGAAUCAACCUGAAAGACUCCUUUCUCUUAGGAGCACCAGGAGGUUAGGUUGUUAGGGCUACAGUGACCGGAGGUCCACAGGUGGACGUUUCAGAGCAACAGGAGGGGACGGACAGUCCCCCACCUGUGAGGCUGAAAUCAGGAUGGGUGACCAGGCCUCUCUACAGCAGCAAGACCCAUGAUGACACACCAGCUUUCCACGUCUGUGUCCAAAUGUCCCCUUUUAUCAGAGCCUCAGGGACAGAUGUGGAGCCAAGUUUGCCAAUCGGAUCCUAGACUCCAUUUCCAAAUAAGGUUGCCUUUUUGGUGCUGGGGUUAACGCUGUAAUGUAUGGACAGACACCAUCCACCCAUGACAAACAGAAUGGAAAAUUCCAGGUGGGUUCACGGCCUCCUUCCCUCCCUUUUUAUUAACUGCAAAGGUGAAUACAAAGUUUAAAACCUGGCAAGGGAACCUAAAUCAAAUACUGCUUUCUGCUUCAGGUCCUUGAUUUUACCGAGGCUAAGACACUUCUUUUUGCUUUUGUAUGCACAUGUAUGUGCAGGAAGACUUGUAACUAUAGAAACACAAGUCAGAGGUUGAUCAAGGGUGUUUCUCAAUCAUUCUUGACCUUACCUUUCUUCCCGCUCUGAACCAGAGCUGGCCCAUUUGGGUAGACAGGCUGCCCUGUGCUUCUCUGACUCAUGGGAUCUAGCAUUGGAAUCUAGCUAGCAUUGAGACAGUGUUGGGAUGGCUGGGUAGGCUGUCCACUGCACAAAAGUGCUCCAGUGACUCCACUUGCCAAGGUCCAUCUGGAUCAGUGCCCGUGCCUACUGUGUACAAAGGGGCUCCAAGGCAGCUGAGUCUGUAUUUUGUACAGAUUCUUUUCCACUUCUUCUGGAGCAGAGGGGCCCCAUUCUUGGCACCAGCUCCCCAAAGCUAAAGCAAUGGGAAAUUCAAGAAGAGAAAAACCCAGUGCUCUUCAAAGGCCAUUUGUGAAGUCAGUCGGAAGCUGGGCCACUGUGAGCAGCCGAAGCUGUUAGGGCUCCCUGAUUAUCACAGUUUGUUACAAGCGUCAGAAAGCGUUCAAAGGAAAAGGGAUCCUCAAACAAGUUUUGGGUUAAUGAGUGAAUCCAGUAAAUUUAGCAGCCUGAUUCUUGGCUUUCAUUGAGUGGCCUGGGUCCUGGUAACAGGUGGUCUGUUACCUUUCAGAAAUAGUUGUCCCCUACUCACAGUGCUCCUGGGGAGACACGGGCCACUUGGUCAGCAGUUUUUACCUCAGUCCAGAUCUAGAGCCUAGCAGGAACUAUGAUGUCCUUCAUGGUCAUAUAUGUGGCAGGGAUUUCCAGCUCAGAUAGCCAGUUCCUUCCCCAAGGGACAUCUUCCUCACUGCCUACUCCACAGUUUCCUCCCUCACAUCCACAACACAGUCUAUCCAGACAAACAGACUUCUGGGACACACUAGUUACCCCAGGAUAAACACAAAAAUCAAAGCAACAUGGCUCUACAUGGCUCUGAAGGAAGGUCCUGGCAAAGUGGGCACUGCACGGAUGGCCACCUGUUCUUUGAGGUUGGCUUCUUAUCUGGAUCACUGGUCUGCAAUACAGCCUCUCCUGUAUGGUUACAAUACAGCAGGCCCCGCGGAGAAGCCAUCCUUUGAGACCACUAGAGUGUACCUCUGCUCUCUUUUCCUUAGACGGCAGCUUGAUAGCCCUAGCCUACCCCCUCCCACAGCUUGCUCUUAAGGCCUCAUCUGACAAUCUUCUCACUUGAACUGGACCUUUUAGAUCCACUAAGGCUCCCGAACCUCUCCCUUAUCUCACUGGAUCAGGCAAUUUCCAGACCAUGCCGGUGUGUGAACUGUGAUCCGAGGGUGAGCAGCAAGAUGCGAAUGAGUCACAAGAGCAAAUACUACUUUUCUGCUCUUUACACGCCCCCCAAUUCAUGACUUCACAGAGAGCAGGAGCCACAGACACAAGAAAUGACAACUGCUUUGUUGACUCCCAGGUUGUCAUGGAUGGGUUAUGUGGCCCUAGAACUACAUCACAGACCUGC